UACGUAGGGUGCAGGCGUUAAUCGGAAUUACUGGGCGUAAAGCGUGCGCAGGCGGUUUCUUAAGUCAGAUGUGAAAGCCCCGGGCUUAACCUGGGAACUGCGUUUGGAACUGGGAGACUUGAGUGUGGCAGAGGGGGGUGGAAUUCCACGUGUAGCAGUGAAAUGCGUAGAUAUGUGGAGGAACACCGAUGGCGAAGGCAGCCCCCUGGGCUAACACUGACGCUCAGGCACGAAAGCGUGGGGAGCAAACAGG
Molecule: ribosomal RNA, 253 nt
Filed under: uncultured bacterium
Lineage: Bacteria
Description: partial 16S ribosomal RNA
Rfam family: Bacterial small subunit ribosomal RNA
Source: RNAcentral